RNAcentral lists this small nuclear RNA (68 nucleotides) under Salvator merianae (Argentine black and white tegu). Lineage: Eukaryota; Metazoa; Chordata; Lepidosauria; Squamata; Teiidae. The record is from RNAcentral.
UUGCUUCGGCAGCACAUAUGCUAAAAUUGGAACAAUAACAGAGAAGAUUAGCAUGGCCCAUGCACAAG